AUCUUCUGCCCCACACUCUUUGGGUCCACGCCUUUCUCUGAUCCAGCAGUAACACUUCAUUCCUUGAAGCCCGUGAGACCAUGAACCCUUUGAUUGAGAAAAACCUUCGAUCAGAAGACUUCUCAUUUCACCAAAUUUCAUGCGUGUCCAUAUGAAGAGACCACCAAACAGGAUUUGUGUAUGGAGGUCUCACUUUGUUGCCUAGGCUGGAGUGUAAUGGUGAUUCUGACAAAUGAUCAUAGCACGCUACAACCUCUACCUCCUGGGCUCAAGCGCUUCUCCUGCCUCAGAGUCCCAAGUAACUGGAACUACAGAUUCUCACUCUGUCACCCAGGCUGGAGUGCAGUGGCAUGAUCAUAGCUAAUGGUACAUCUUGAACUUCUGGACUCCAGAGGUCCUUCCCUCUCAGCCUCCCAAGUAGCUAGGACUAUAGGCGUACACUACCUUGCCCUGCUUUCUUUGCUUUGGUAGACAGGGCUUCAACACUUUGCUGUUUAACUACAUUGCCAGCUGAUCUCCAGCUCCUGGCCUAAAGCAAUCUUCCCAUUUUGGCCUCCCAAAGUGCUGGGAUUGCAGGCA
This 579-nucleotide long non-coding RNA is filed under the name Pongo abelii (Sumatran orangutan). RNAcentral's name for it is "lincRNA". Lineage: Eukaryota; Metazoa; Chordata; Mammalia; Primates; Hominidae. The record is from RNAcentral.